This 561-nucleotide ribosomal RNA is filed under the name uncultured bacterium. RNAcentral's name for it is "partial 16S ribosomal RNA". It matches the Rfam family "Bacterial small subunit ribosomal RNA", at positions 355 to 1376 of the family's 1533-position model. The record is from RNAcentral.
UGGGGAAUCUUGCGCAAUGGGCGAAAGCCUGACGCAGCCAUGCCGCGUGAAUGAUGAAGGUCUUAGGAUUGUAAAAUUCUUUCACCGGGGACGAUAAUGACGGUACCCGGAGAAGAAGCCCCGGCUAACUUCGUGCCAGCAGCCGCGGUAAUACGAAGGGGGCUAGCGUUGCUCGGAAUUACUGGGCGUAAAGUGAGCGUAGGCGGACAUUUAAGUCAGGGGUGAAAUCCCGGGGCUCAACCUCGGAAUUGCCUUUGAUACUGGGUGUCUUGAGUGUGAGAGAGGUAUGUGGAACUCCGAGUGUAGAGGUGAAAUUCGUAGAUAUUCGGAAGAACACCAGUGGCGAAGGCGACAUACUGGCUCAUUACUGACGCUGAGGCUCGAAGGCGUGGGAAGCAAACAGGAUUAGAUACCCUGGUAGUCCACGCCGUAAACGAUGAUUGCUAGUUGUCGGGAUGCAUGCAUUUCGGUGACGCAGCUAACGCAUUGAGCAAUCCGCCUGGGGAGUACGGUCGCAAGAUUAAAACUCAAAGGAAUUGACGGGGUCAUAGCUGUUUCCUG